UGAUUAUUCAGGAUAAUGGACUCUGAGUA
This 29-nucleotide non-coding RNA is filed under the name Mus musculus (house mouse). The record is from RNAcentral. Lineage: Eukaryota; Metazoa; Chordata; Mammalia; Rodentia; Muridae.